RNAcentral lists this long non-coding RNA (9551 nucleotides) under Medicago truncatula (barrel medic). RNAcentral's name for it is "long non-coding RNA (MTRU_LNC000683)". Lineage: Eukaryota; Viridiplantae; Streptophyta; Magnoliopsida; Fabales; Fabaceae. The record is from RNAcentral.
AUUUUAGGAUUGAAUGGUUUUGGAUAUUCUCGGGGAGACUUUCUAAGUUGCAGCACUCAUUCAAUAUUAGCUGUUUUAAAGAUUGUAUGCCAUCAAGGAUGGACCAAAGACUUAAUGCAUUGAUUUCUGUGCACCCUGAAAGGUCUAGCUUUGUAACAGACCACAGUCCAUGAUCAUCUCUUAACUUAUUCCCAACAAUUUUAAGCUUGUUACACUCAGAUAGGCCAAGCCAAGUAAGUUUGCUAUUGCGCCAAAUCGAUGAAGACAAUUCACGUAUAGCAGUGCCGCCUAAGGUCAACUCUGUCAUUUCCUCCGAUGUCACCAAAAAUUCUGUGAGAGUUGAACAACCAUCGAGUAAGAGUUCACGAAGAGAUUUUGAAUGAAUGUUGGUUUUAAGGCUUUCAAUCUUUUUGCAACCUCGUAAAUCUAGAUAUCUAAGAUCAGGGAGACAGAAGAUGGAAGGAUGGAGCUGACACAGGCUUUCACAUUGAAAAACACUCCAUGAAGAUUUGUAUCCUUAGAUAAGUCUGGGAUCUCAAUCAGAUCUUUGGAGGAUUCAAGCCGGAGUAUGUUUAGAUUCACAAGAUUCUGUAACAAUAAAUAAACAUGACAUUGCUUAGAAACCAUUAAAUCCAUAAUUAAGCAUAAAUAGAGACUUCUUAAGAAUGUGCAUCAGACUUCCUCUCAUACCUAAAUAAAUUAACACGUACGUAUAUCCAAACACAUUUGUACCUGAACUCCAUCCCAGAGCUUUUUAAGCUUGCUAUGACCCAUGUGAAGCUCUAUGAGCAUUUCAGCACAAAAGGUUGGUGGCAAAGACUCAAGGCAGUAUCCCUCCCACAUAAGGAACCUCAAUUUAUUAGAAAGCCACUCAAGACCGUCGGGAAAGUGCACAUUGCAUGUUCUCCCAUUAGAUAUAUUAUAGAUUUUAAGAUAUCUUAAGUUUGUCAUCCUUCUAAAGGAAUCAGACUUUAAGUAAAGAUUCCCAACUUCUGUACUAUCAAAUGUUAUACCUUCCACAACUCCCGUUCCCUACCAAACAAAAAUCAGAUUAUUAAUUAGGAAAGGAUGUAAUAAAUGUUUGCUUGUUAUAUUUCAUAACCACAAACAUGUGUUUUCAUAUGGAAGUAAUUGCAUUGUCUACUUACCUUGUUUUUUUUCAAUACAUCAGAUAUUUCUUCAGCAUUCCACAAUCGACUUCGUUUUCCAGGGUUCUUAGAUUCUUGAUUAACAAUCUCUCGUCCCAUUUCUUGUAACAAAUCAUGCAUUUCUAUACCAUCAACGUCCGACUUGACAUAAACAUGCCAUAUUUUUUUUAGUUGUAUGAGAGAUUUAUCUAGAAGGACUUCUAUCCCACUUACUGCAAAGAACUCACAAGCUUCCAAAAGUUUUCUUACGAAAGAUUUACUCUCUUCUCUCAGCAAGCAUGCGUUGUCUAGAAAUAUGGCCUUUUGACAACAAUCUAAGUCAUCAUAACUCAAUUUUAAUACAUUGUAAAUUUUCGUAUUGGGAAUCUUUUGGAGCUUUUUCAAUUCAUUUUCCCAUUCAUCUUUGCCUCUUGAACUCAGAUUAGCACCUAAAACUUUUAAAGCCAGAGGAUUGCCUUUGCAAUAGGCAAUUACACUCUCUGAUAGAUCUUCAUAUCCAAUUUUAGGAUGUUUUUCCUUGAAGACAGUCAAACUGAAUAGCUGAAAAGAAUCAUGAUUAUUCAAUUCCUUAACCUCGUAUAUUUCACAUUUACUGAACUGACUAAUUAUGUGCUUAUCUCUAGUUGUAAUAAUGACCCUACUACCGGGUCCCAGCCCAUCAAUUUUUAGGAUAAAAUCUUCUAUUCUCUCUAAGGUUUCCACGCCAUCCAAUACAAUUAUAACUUUUUUAAGCGCAAUCCUUCUUUCGGAGAAAGGGACUUCUAUGUAGGGUGCAUCAGGAUGAAGAUUUUCUUCCUAUAACAAUGAAGAUAAAAGUUUAUUGUAUACAACAUUGAGUCCAUACUUGUUUGAUUCAUCCAUUACAUUGAGGAAGCAACGACCUUCGAAUUGGGAAUAAAGUUUAGCAUAUAAAGUCUUAGCAAGGGUUGUCUUUCCUAUGCCACCCAUGCCCCAUAUUCCAAGGACUUUAACAUCAUUUGACCCAAUUUUCAGCAUUGAUUCAAUUUGUUUAUAAUUUUUCUCAAUUCCAACAAGACCCUUAAUUUCAUAUGGGUAUCUAAGAUUUAGUUUCCUUAAAACAUCUUCAACAAUGUCCUUAAUGAAGUCCACUUCAAUCCUUGCACAUGAAGGAAGGAAAGGUCUUACAAGUCUAACAAAUACAAUAGAAGAAAAAUACAUCUAUAUGAUUAGUAUACAAAUUUGUAGUCAACAUGGUGGCAUUAACAUCUAUUUUUUCUACGAAGUGAAAUCCUAAAGAAAUUCCAAAAAAUCAAAAAUCAAAAAAAGGUUUUUAUGCUACCCAAACGAUAAGAUGAUGUAUUCUUUGUAUUUAGAUUUAAGAGUAUCAAUUGAGUGAUAAGUGUAUGCAGGGUACAAGAAUAUGUUGACUUUGAAGACUCCUACCCUCUUCCCAAUAGUAAAUAACUGUGCUAUAUUAGAAUACAAAACAUGCAAAUGAUAGGAAAUAGUUUAUUGAUUUUACUUUGAAUUUUGGAAACAUACAAGUGAUGAACAUAUCCAAAGCUGGAUAGUUUGUUUUAUUUACCUAUAAUUUUGAGAGUCCCAUCCAACUAAAUUAGCUGCCUCAGUGAGAGAGGCUUUCCAUUUCUCCAACUUGGCAUUAUUGUGCUUCAAAUCUUGCUUAUGUUUUGCAAAGGCUUGCUUGUAACUCCCGGUUUGCUUCCUCACAUGUGAUGGAUCAAUGUUGUAAAAAAUAGGUAUCACGAUCUGUUCCAUAUAUUGCUUGCAUUCUAGAAUCUUUUUGAGAUCAUUCAAACACCAUUUUGAGGAAGCGUAGUUUUCUGAGAAGAUGACAAUAGACACAUGUGACUCCUCAAUGGUUUUGAUGAGUGUUGGUGAGAUCUCAUCUCCUUUUUGAAGGUCAUUGUUGUCUAUGAAGGUUUCAACUUUCUUUCGACUCAAAGCAUCAUAAAGAUGGCUUGUGAAGUUUCUGCGAGUAUCCUCACCUCGAAAGCUAAGAAAAACGUCAUAUUUUUUCGGAGGCCCCACAUAAGAAGAAGAUAUAGAGGAAAAAGCACUGCUCAUUUUCUGCGCGGCGGUUAUGAUUUCCAAAUGCCUGCACUAAGCCACUAAUCACAAUGCUACAAUAAAAAAAAGUAUUGGGCUUCAUAAAUUUGAUUAUCAUUUGGAAUCAUUUUUGGCAGCAUAACAAAAAGAAUGGCAACAUUCAAAGCGAGCCUAACAAAAAUAAGGCAAAUUCUAUAUUACACCCAAUAUAUUUGAGUGUAUCGGUACAUCCACUCUUUAAAUUAAUAGUUAAAUGAGUUUUUUUUUGAAGAAAAAUAUUAUUUUUUAUCAUUUAUUAUUAUAAUAACUAAAUCUUAUUCAUAAAAAAUAUCAACAAAAUAAAAUUAUUAUUUUUUGAAUUUUUAUUGCUCAUAAUUUAUAACAUUUAUUAUUUUUUACGAUAAUAUGUAAAAAAAAAUACUAUGAUUGUCAUAAACAAUGAAAUGAUUUUUUUUUUUUUUAUGAACUGAUGUUAUAUAAAAUAUAACUAUUGACAAAGAGCUAUUUAUUACAUAAAAAAUUAUCGUUAAUUUAUAAAAUUAUGAAGAAGGAGUACCGGUACACCUCACUUUGUGAGUGUACCGUAGAAGUUUCCCAACAAAAUAAUUACAAUAAUAUAGAUGAAUGUCUUGAGACAAUUUAUUUUUGGCGAUUACUUUCUCCACCCUAUAAGGUUCUCACACGUCCUUUUUUUUUUCUUUCCAAAUUGCCCCUUAGAUUUUAGAAAAUGAAAACCAAUUCCAAAUAUAAAUUCCGAAACAUUUCGCUUUAUAAAAGCAAGAUCAGCAACUUCCACCAUUUUACAGUUUUAGUUUUACAAUUUCACUUUCUCUCUCUCUCUCUCACCGAUCCCAUAAUCCUAAAAUAUUGGUCCAAUCUUUGAGUUUUUUUUGCUCAAAAUCAUCACAUUUGAAGCUUUAUCAAACCCCAUAGUGAAGGUUAGGUCUCAUUCCAUCUGCAUACAAGCCUUUGAGUUCGAAUAUUUUUUUUGUGGCAACUGAAUAUGUUUGGAUUAUAAAAUCCAAACUGGAUUGUUGAAGUUCAGAUUUUAUAAUCUGAAGUGUACCUGUAGGCAGAUUUUUGGACAAUUUUGUGGAUUUAUAUUGAUUGCGUUUUACCUGGUUAUGCAUGUUACAAGCAUGGAUCGUGUUGGGCGCACCGUGGGUGAUGGAGAAGCAAUGCAUGUUUAUGUUUGGAGAGAGCGUUUGGAGAGGUUGCAAGCGGAGGGGAGAGUGCCCAGGCGUGGCAAGGGCAGGGAAAGGGCACGCCGUGGUGAUGCUGAUGGCGAGGGAACAUCUCAGGGGAACUAUAUUGAGCUUGAGCCACAGAGGGAGAUAAGAGAAGGUGGAGGGUGAUGUUGAGCAACAGGAGGAGGGUGAUGAAGAGCAGCAUGAGCGUGUGCAGCCAAAGCCAAAGGAGCUUGAUCACUAUCUUGGUGGCCCACACGACUUGACUGUGCUGACCAAGUACCAUGUUCACGUGGUCAGGAUGGCAGUUGAUGAAGUGGUAAGACACUGCACCUUUAAUUUAAUGAAAAUUGAAUUUUUAUGUUUAAUUAAUAAUAAUUGUAAACUUUUUGUUAAUUUUUGUCAUGUAUUAUUUCGAUUACUGUGAAACUGAUGUUAAUUUUUUGUUUUAAAUUUUAGCAGUGCGGUGACAAUUUAAAAUGUGUAAACAACAGGAAGAAGAUAGAAGCGAUACAUAAACCAAAGGUUUAAAUGUAUUUCAUCCUUGCAAUUAAGGGUCGUUUAAAAAUUGGUCCCUGUAUUCGCUAAUCCUUGCAAACUAGCCUUGCAAUAAUUAAUCAUUUAAAAUUUCGUCCUUUGACCAACUUAAUCACUGCCACGUCACUAAUUUGAUGACGUGGCAAUCACUAUCACACAUGAAAUUCCAAUUUUUCUCUUAAGAAGAGGACAAAAUAUUGAAGAAAGAAUUAGAAACUCAGGGGUAAAAUUGGAAUUUCAUGUGUGACAGUGAUUGGCACGUCAUCAAAUUAGUGAUGUGGCAGUGAUUAAGUGGGGAGAGGGACGAAAUUUUAAAUGAUUAAACAAUGCAAGGGUAAAUUGCAAGGAUUAGCGAUUACAGAGACCAAUUUUUAAACGACCCAUAAUUGCAAGGAUGAAAUACAUAUUUAAGCCUAAACCAAACAAGACUCUGAUGGCAAGACUGUGUGGUUUAAGCAUGGGCUGAAAGUCACUGGUCUUCGGUGGCUGCAGGAUAUCAGCUACAGCCAGAUUGAACACGGGCUUUGUUCUGCAAUUGUGGAGAGAUGGCACGAGGAGACAUCGAACUUUCAUCUUCCGUUUGGGGAUAUGAUAGUGGCACUGGAUGAUGUGUCAUGUUUGCUGCAUCUCGCCAUCGAGGGUAUGCUCUUGUCCUAUGAAAGUAUGUCAAGGGGUGAUGUUGUUGAGUUGUUGAUGGAAUUGUUGAGGGUUGAUGCGGGCGAGACAUGGACCGAGGUGGAAAAGAAAAAAGGUGGACAUGCACGGUUUAACUUCUUGAAGGAUAUAUACUUUCAAGGAGCAUGUUCGGGAGGCACAUGAGGUCUACCAUGCUGGUCAGUUUGUUGAGAUGCAGCAGCGGGAGUAUUUUCCAACAGAAGGUAUGGCCUAAACUAAUUUUAUCAAUUUAUUUAUUUCAAAUUCUAUGAUCAAUUUGAAAAUGACCUAUGUAAUUAGAGAAACUAGCAGUUAAAUUAAAAUUGAGGGAAAAAAGAUCAUACCAAAGUCAGAUCAAUCCAGCUUCAUGCAAUAGAGGAGAAAAAGACAGUAUGGCUUAGCUUCUGGUGGAAUCAAAUUUGGAUGAAAAUUAAUUAAGGAUAAACACACACAAACACUUCAUAAUGCCUUGGUCCUGAUGUAUAUACAUGUAAUGGGUCAAAUUUAAAAUAUAAAAUAACAAGUGUGGCUUAGCUUGCUUCCUUUUUGAUGGAGACUACUAGAUAAACUAUGGAAUUGGAUUUCAGAUUAAAAUAUAUGCAAAAUUAAGCUUGUUGUCCUUCAAUUUUGAGUCAUUUUUCAGAUUAUACCUAUUCACGUAUGUAAACACAAGUUAAUUACAAUAGGUGAGUUGCUGAGUGAAAUGUCUUAGGUGCAAUUCCAAGAACAAUUAGAUUAUACCUAUUAAGCUUGUUGUCCUUUAAUUUUGACUAUUUUUCAGAUUAUACCUUUUAGUUUUUCUUUCUUCCUUGAAUAGUUUCUUCAAAUAUUUAUAAUUACCAACAGAAGGUAGAGCCUUGGACUUAUACAAUAUAUAAGUGGCUUAGAUGUAUUCUUGUCUUUCGUUGGUCUAUGAAAUCGUAAAAACAAACACUUUCGUAUAUUUAAUUAAAUUUAAAGGUAAAGUAAAACAUUAAAUUAAUUUUAAAAUCCCUCCCCUCGUGAACCACAUCAAUUAAUGUUUUUAUUUUUUGUGGAAUUUCUAAAUGUUUUAAUUGAUUAGUUUUUUUUUUAAAGAAUGUUUUGAUUGAUUAGUUGUGUAUGUACAAAGCUGUUUUAGACCGUCGACUCGUUAAUCUUAAACCCUUAACAAAAACUGAUUUAGACCGUCGACUCGCUAAUCAAACCAAGUAAUUAAAUUAAAAAAUUACUUUCUGUUGGAGAAAAGAUACUAUUUGGAAUAUGCAUUGGAAAUAAUGAGUAGCAGAGAGAUUACAAACACUAUAUUAUUUUGUGGGAAAACCAAGAUCUUUGAUCUGUAUCAUUUAAAAAGGAAAGACCAUUAACAGAACCAUUAUUAUUCUUCUUAUCUUUAUUUCUUAUGACUCAAAAUCAUGAAACUCAAGUAGCUACUGCAAUAGGGAGAAAAAGAGGAAGAAGACCGACAAUUCAUUUAAUGACGAAGCAGAAGAUGUUAGAAGAAAGCAGCAUUGCUAUCUUCAAUGAUCAAGAACAUUGACACUGUGAUGUGAUCCUAAAAUUCUCUCUCUUGACAAGAAUAAUAAAGUCAUUGUAGAAUAAAAGAACCAAAUUAAUUUUGGGUUCAAAGUUUUAUUUUCGUAGGUCAUUAUAUGUCUGUCUUGUUUUGGCUAUAUCUGGAGCUCUGGAUAUCCGUUUGAGGUGAUCUUUAACUCGUUGGAAAGCUUACGAAAUUCUCUACAUUUCAUCUGUUUGAUUCAAGAGCAAAUUCGGAAUAUUUAAUGGUGCAGAAUGAGCUGUAGGUAGAAGACGUGGUUAAAGUAUGUUAGCUGAAGAAUUAAAGGUGGUGUUUGUGGAAUUGUAACGUCUAGCCAUAAUAAGCCUUCACAAAUCAAUGUGCAAAUGAAUAUGUAACCUUCUCAUGCAUUGAUCAACCACCAACUUUAAAGAUCCAAUUAAAUUGUAACCUCUUUUGUAAUAACUAGCCACCUAGGAAUUAUAACACUAAUUAUGCUAUGAUUGUAAGUUUUUCAGCUUCCAAGCCUAUUUCCUAUAAAAAGGGGGCGAAAAUAAUGAAGGGGACAAGUUGAAUUUAAAAAAAAUAAAAAAUAAAUAGAGAAUUUUAGGAUCACAUCACACUGCUAAGGAAAAUGAAUGGGGAUCUUUACACAAAAUUAUGAAACGCUGCAAACCUGGUUAUAGCUGACUACUUAUACCAACAAUAAAAACAGGAUCAGAUUGAUUAAUACCAGCAAUCACAGCACAGAACUGCUGAAUAAAAUUAGGAAUACUUCUGCAAAGGUAUAAAUUAUAAAGUUUAAAUAUGCCUUUAGUCCUUGCACUUUUAUCAGAUUUUGGCAUUGGUCCCUACACUUUUUUUUGUUUGGAAUUGGUCCCUGCACUUUGUAAAAAUAUUGGUAUUGGUCCCUGCACUUUGUAAAAAUAUUGAUAUUGGUGCCACGUGGCGUGAAAUGAUUGGGCCACGUGGCACUCCGUUGAUUUUGUGUUUUUUUUUUUAACAGAAAGUUAACAGGGGGUCAAUACCAAUAUUUUUACUAAGUGCAGGGACCAAUGCCAAAAUCUGAUGAAAGUGUAGGGACCAAUGACACAUUUAAACCAAAUUAUAAUUAGCACAACGUAUCAUUGCACUUAGGCAUUUAAAUGAUGAAUUUAAUACCAGUCUACUGCAUCACCGAAUCUUUCUGAAUGAAUGCGAUGAUGUUGUGCUUAUUGUAUUUGAGAAACAGGAGAAAGAGAUUACAAUAUUUCCGACUUGUAUUAUUCUUUUGACCCUCUUAGCAAGUGCCUCAAAAAAAGACCUGCCCAAUAUGUUGUUUCAGCAUAAAGUUAUUGCAAUACACCGAGCAUUAUUCACUUGAAGGAUUAAAAUUUUCUAUUAAAUAAAAAAUAUUGAAUCUAUAAUUAUAAAGUCGGUUAAAACUUCAUACCGAUUGAACAAGAAGGUUGUUCCUCUUUGCAUGAAUAGGAAGGUUGUUCCUGGUUAUCUUCAUUUUCAUUGUUAGAGCUUCUGACUUCACCUCCAAUUGCUAUAGACACAUCAGAGUCUUGAGCAAUGGAUUUUAAUUUACCAAUUUCCUUACUAAUGAUACUGCUACCACCACCUUCCAACUCACGUUCUAAGGCAUAUACAGGUAUGACCCCACACCCUUUUAUCCCCUCUGUUGACCACCACAAUUCUUCAUUGGGACCUUGAAGUAUGAAUUUAAAUGAUAAGUUACAAUCAUAACUUCCACUUUCUUGUAUGUUGUAACCAUGCCAACGCAUCAAUACAUGAUCUGAAAUUAAUGUCCCGAGAUAAUUGAAUCUAAUGCGACGUCUGUCGACUUCUUUUCCGCAUUCAAAGAUAAUACAAUGAAGGACAUGGUGGUUAACAGUGAAGCCCUCAGAAAAAAGGAUGCAAAAUAUGAAACCACACAAGUCAGAUUUAGCAAUAGGAAGAAUAGUUAUUGAAGCCUUGAUUGUCUGAAAAUCAAAAUUUAAUGGAAUUUGUGCUCCUGGCAUGAAAGAGAAAGGACGGAUAACACCUUCAUGUUCAAUAGAAGGGUCUUCACAGAACUUUUGUGCCUUGUUCUUAAUCAAUGAAAAUUGUGUGAAGUAUGUGUCCAGAUAUGUGCAAUUAACGGCUGUUAAAUAAAACAGGGAUGGCGGAAUCUCUGUUAGAGACACAAGUUUCCUGCAAUUGUCUAAUUCAAGCCAUUCUAGCAUUGAAUGGUUUUGUAUGUUCUUAGGGAGACAUUCUAAGUUGCAACACUCAUUCAAUUUUAGCCGUUUUAAAGAUUGUAUGCCAUCAAGGAUGGACGACAGACUUAUUGCAUUGAUUUCUGUGCACCCAGAAAGGUCUAGCUCUGUAACAGACCCCAGUCCAUGAUCAUCUGUUAACUUAUUCCCAACAAUAGUAAGCUUGUUACAUCCAGCUAGGUCAAGAACAGUAAGUUUGGUAUUAUGCCAAAUCGAUGAAGUCAAUUCAUGUAUAGAAGUGUCACGUAAGGAUAAUUUU